RNAcentral lists this ribosomal RNA (253 nucleotides) under uncultured bacterium. RNAcentral's name for it is "partial 16S ribosomal RNA". It matches the Rfam family "Bacterial small subunit ribosomal RNA", at positions 524 to 776 of the family's 1533-position model. The record is from RNAcentral.
UACGCAGGGGGCUAGCGUUGCUCGGAAUGACUGGGCGUAAAGGGCGCGUAGGCGGAUUGCACAGUCAGAUGUGAAAUUCCCGGGCUUAACCUGGGGGCUGCAUUUGAUACGUGUGAUCUAGAGUGAGGAAGAGGGUCGUGGAAUUCCCAGUGUAGAGGUGAAAUUCGUAGAUAUUGGGAAGAACACCGGUGGCGAAGGCGGCGACCUGGUCCUUGACUGACGCUGAGGCGCGAAAGCGUGGGGAGCGAACAGG